RNAcentral lists this ribosomal RNA (468 nucleotides) under uncultured bacterium. Its description in RNAcentral is "partial 16S ribosomal RNA". It matches the Rfam family "Bacterial small subunit ribosomal RNA", at positions 28 to 507 of the family's 1533-position model. The record is from RNAcentral.
GACGAACGCUGGCGGCGUGCUUAACACAUGCAAGUCGAACGGAAAGGCCCUGCGUUUGUGGGGUGCUCGAGUGGCGAACGGGUGAGUAACACGUGAGUAACCUGCCCUUGACUUUGGGGUAACUUCGGGAAACUGGGGCUAAUACCGGAUAGGAGCUCCUGCUGCAUGGUGGGGGUUGGAAAGUUUCGGCGGUCGGGGCUGGACUCGCGGCUGAUGAGCUUGUUGGUGGGGUAGGGGCAUACCAAGGCAUUGACGGGUAGCCGGCCUGGGAGGGUGGCCGGCCACAUUGGGACUGCGAGACGGCCCAGACUCCUACGGGAGGCAGCAGUCGGGAAUAUUGCACAAUGGGCGGGAGCCUGAUGCAGCAACGCCGCGUGCGGGAUGACGGCCUUCGGGUUGUAAACCGCUUUCGCCUGUGACGAAGCGUGAGUGACGGUAAUGGGUAAAGAAGCACCGGCUAACUACGUG